RNAcentral lists this long non-coding RNA (2804 nucleotides) under Rosa chinensis. RNAcentral's name for it is "sRNA RchiOBHm_Chr3g0476821". Lineage: Eukaryota; Viridiplantae; Streptophyta; Magnoliopsida; Rosales; Rosaceae. The record is from RNAcentral.
CUGAUUCAUAAAUACAAAAUAAAAGGAGCCAAUUGCCCACGCGUUUGACAACUUAAUUAGGUUAGGGCUAUCGACUUUUGUUUCCCUCUCCAUUUAUUUCCCACACAAUUUCUUCAUCAGUCUUCUUCUCUCUCCAAAGCUCAAGUCAUCACUCAAAAGCCGUCACUUCUUAGCUUGAAAUUAGGGUUCUUCGCUCUCAACUCAGCCAUCACUCAAGUCCUUUUAUGAAGGAGUAUUCUGCGAAUCGGGAAGAAGGAGAAGGUUCAUCAAUCAACUAAAGAUGUGGGUUCUUCGAUCUCUGGGUUUACAACAUUGAUUUGGGGAUUUGUGGGCUACUCGAUUUGAGGGUUUCACGACUCGAUCUGGGUUUUUCCGGCCACUCGAUCAACAAGGAGGAGGAAAAGGGGGUUUCGCGCAGUUUUUCUUAACCCUAGAAGAUGAAGCCUUCGUGCCGUCGUUUGAAGGUCCUCAACUCCAAGACUUGCUGGGAACCGAGUUCCCGGUUGUGCAUCCUCCUUGGAGUUAUCAAUUGUCUGGCGUCGAUAGAGGAGAAUUAGCGUUAUUGGGAUUGGAAGAAGCAGCGAAAAGGUUUGUCAUCAGGGGUGUCUUUUUGGUUGAUUCGUAUGGAUUUCUGGUUUUGAAUGUGUGGUUUUCGUUGUGAUUGAUUUGGUUUGCAGUGAAUAUUGAAGUCUGGGUAUUUUCAAUUUGUUCCCUUUUGUCUAAAUUUACUUAUUCUCUGUUUGAAAAUGGGUUAAUCUCAAAUUGGGUUUCUGGGGUUUUCUGUUCUCUUGAGUUUCUUGAAUGCUUUUUCAAGGAAGAAAGUUUAGGCAGUGAUGUCGUACAAGAUCUGAUAUAACUGUUUCUGAUUUCUUGAAUUUCAGUACCCAAAGCAAUAAAUGUGUUCGUGGGAUUGUCAUUUUUUUGACCCGAUUAUUUUUUGUCAAUUAAAAACUGGAUGUAUGUUGUGUUCUGUGAAAAGCUUUUUCCCUGGUCAAUUGAGAUAAAGUGUAUAUUCUUGAGUCACGUUUUAUUAAAAGAUGUAGCUAAGAAUUUAAUUCUAUGUGUACUAUAAGAAUUAAUGUAUGACACAACUAGAGAUUAGAAAGUGAGACCUGAUGGUGGUGUGAUUAGUAGAUUAUGAGGAGUGACCAUGAUGAUCUGAAAUUUUAGUUGGAUAUUUUGUGGAAAUGCAGAUAUGGCAACUAAGAAUGCCAAAAGAGGAAUAAAAAGGUUUCUAGAGCAAUCUACUCCUGAUAGGAUUGAUCAGGCAAAAACAAGAUGUAGUAAUGUUAAAUUAUAGAUACUGUGUACAAAUAUAAUUGUUUCUGUGCAACUAUGAAUUAAUUCGUACUGUUUCUUUGUUGGUUACAGUGCUUAGGACAGGGAUUACUGAAGAAUCUCACAAACAUCAUAAUAACGCUCUGUUUACAGAUGGUAAUGAGGAUGGUAUUCGAGGCUUGGUGUUGAAAGAGGAAUGCAAGCUAGUGACUUAUAUUUGGCUAAGUUAUGUUUACCGCAGUAUUAUUUCUACUUAAUUUUUUGGAUCUCUCUCUCUCUCUCUCCCCCUCCUCCCUGCCUAACAAUGUCAAUGUCUCUCUCUCGCUCGCUAUUUAGAUGAUGCACAUUUUCUCUAUAGAUAGAGAAAAAAUUGGUAGUUUGAUACUAACUUGCAUGGUGUCUUCUUCUUUAUAGACAUCUGGGUUUGAUACGGUGUAAGCAAAAUCUGGAUUUUAUUUGAGAAUGCACUGAGCUACAAUGUAGUCUCCUUGUCAUUUCCAGAAGCUGUCCUUCUAUUGUCUUUGGUAGGGAUUACAGAACUUGAGGUACUCUAAUCAGUUUUGCCAGGUUUCAUACUUUCUGCAGGUUUGGUUGUUAACGUUGUUAACCUCAUUCUUUUAGAAGAGCCCAUGUUUGUAUGUUGGACUGAAAUAUUUUAGAUAACUCUAAAAGGGCAUGUUUUUGUUUUGCUAUACUCUUUAACACUUUAGGAACCAGGAGUGUAUUUACUGUUACGUUUGUUUGUUUUGGUAGUCAUUUGCAUCUGGGAAAAAGAUUUGAUCUUAUCCUGUGGACACAAGUGCUUAGUUCGUAAUAAAUUCAGAGCAUGUAAGAUGAAAACCUAUUUAUCUUGUGAAAAUUAACUUGAGUUGCUUUGCUUUGGAGUACACUAUGCAGUAUGUGCUAUCUCAAUGACCCUUUUAUGCUCUAUGCUUCUUAAUGUCCUGCGUAUUGGAUAAGUCGCAUAGUUUUGGAGGCUAAGAUUUUUCAAAUCAACUUUUUGUCAAGUCAUUUAUGAUUUUAAUUACAAGACAUAACUAAUUCAGAAGGAGAGAUAUGAAAAGUGUUCCACCAUGUUGUUAUAUCACAGGAUGUCAACUUAAAGUUUGAGCUUAUCUAACAGUAGAUAUAUCAAAGAGAUUCUGCAAGUGAGUUUUCACUUUGGAACUCUUUUUCAUAUGUUUUGAAGUAAAAGUGACAUGGCAUUGUAUUUCGAUAGUGAUGUGAUGCAAUCUUAUUGGUAAUGGUUGUCUAUUGUUUACUCCAGGAUAAAUUGAUUUGUCACUAAAAACUACUCUUCCUAUAUAUUUGCAGGCAACAUUAGAAGACAGAAUGCUUUGGAACAAUGUGUAUCGGCCUUUGAUGUUCAAGUAGAUAGGGCAUUUAUGUAUUAGAAUGUAAAACGAGAUGUUGAAUGAUUGAGAAAUGCUCCAUUUUAACAUUUUUGGCAUAUGGAAUGGAUUGGAUUAUUCAUUUGAUGGCUUGCAAUGUGUUUUCUUUCCAAUUGAUCACUGUUCAUUAGGUAA